GAGUUUGAUCAUGGCUCAGAUUGAACGCUGGCGGCAUGCCUUACACAUGCAAGUCGAACGGCAGCAUGAUCUAGCCUGCUAGAUUGAUGGCGAGUGGCGAACGGGUGAGUAAUACAUCGGAACGUGCCCUGUAGUGGGGGAUAGCUAGUCGAAAGAUUAGCCAAUACCGCAUACGACCUGAGGGUGAAAGUGGGGGACCGCAAGGCCUCAUGCUAUAGGAGCGGCCGAUGUCUGAUUAGCUAGUUGGUGGGGUAAAGGCCCACCAAGGCGACGAUCAGUAGCUGGUCUGAGAGGACGAUCAGCCACACUGGGGACUGAGACACGGCCCAGACUCCUACGGGAGGCAGCAGUGGGGAAUUUUGGACAAUGGGCGAAAGCCUGAUCCAGCAAUGCCGCGUGUGUG
This 403-nucleotide ribosomal RNA is filed under the name uncultured microorganism. Its description in RNAcentral is "bacterial SSU rRNA". It matches the Rfam family "Bacterial small subunit ribosomal RNA", at positions 9 to 407 of the family's 1533-position model. The record is from RNAcentral.